This 256-nucleotide long non-coding RNA is filed under the name Zea mays. RNAcentral describes it as "long non-coding RNA (ZMAY_LNC001052)". The record is from RNAcentral. Lineage: Eukaryota; Viridiplantae; Streptophyta; Magnoliopsida; Poales; Poaceae.
ACAUCAGGAACACCUCGCAUAUGCAAAGAGUCUUGGCUGGAAUUUAAGGGCAGUGAGGAGCUCCAAAAUAACUAGCCCCAAAUUACAGAAUAUGUAAGCAAGGGAAAGGGGUGUGUCAGUGAGCGUAUCUAGUCCAUGGGGAAGUGAGCGUAUCUAGUCCAUGGGGAGAAGGGUUCUGGGACAGGCAAACCUAGGAUGCAGAGAGGGUUAUACCAGCAGUACACAAGGACUGCACACUCAAACAGUGAACUUUGAC